RNAcentral lists this ribosomal RNA (449 nucleotides) under uncultured bacterium. RNAcentral describes it as "partial 16S ribosomal RNA". It matches the Rfam family "Bacterial small subunit ribosomal RNA", at positions 29 to 523 of the family's 1533-position model. The record is from RNAcentral.
AACGAACGCUGGCGGCAGGCCUGACACAUGCAAGUCGAACGCUGUAGCAAUACAGAGUGGCAGACGGGUGAGUAACACGUGGGAAUCUUCCUAUCGGUACGGAAUAGCUCAGGGAAACUUGAGGUAAUACCGCAUACGCCCUUCGGGGGAAAGAUUUAUCGCCGAUAGAUGAACCCGCGUCUGAUUAGCUAGUUGGUGAGGUAAUGGCUCACCAAGGCGACGAUCAGUAGCUGGGCUGAGAGGAUGACCAGCCACACUGGGACUGAGACACGGCCCAGACUCCUACGGGAGGCAGCAGUGGGGAAUAUUGGACAAUGGGCGCAAGCCUGAUCCAGCCAUGCCGCGUGAGUGACGAAGGUCUUCGGAUUGUAAAGCUCUUUUGCCAGGGACGAUAAUGACGGUACCUGGAGAAUAAGCCCCGGCUAACUUCGUGCCAGCCGCCGCGGUAA